AAGUCGUAACAAGGUUUCCGUAGGUGAACCUGCGGAAGGAUCAUUAAUGAUUUGGCUCCGGCCUAUACCUUCUACCUCUGUGAACCGUGCCCCCGGCCUUUGAACAUUUGAUGUGUACGAACGUAGUAUAAUGAUAAUAAAAUAAAA
RNAcentral lists this unclassified non-coding RNA (147 nucleotides) under plant metagenome. Its description in RNAcentral is "partial contains small subunit ribosomal RNA and internal transcribed spacer 1". The stretch from base 1 to 46 matches the Rfam family "Eukaryotic small subunit ribosomal RNA", at positions 1786 to 1831 of the family's 1831-position model. The record is from RNAcentral.